GACGAACGCUGGCGGCGUGCUUAACACAUGCAAGUCGAACGAUGAAGCGGGUGCUUGCACUCGUGGAUUAGUGGCGAACGGGCGAGUAACACGUGAGUAACCUGUCCUUUUCUUUGGGAUAACGGCUGGAAACGGCUGCUAAUACUGGAUAUUCAGGCUGCAUCGCAUGGUGUGGUUUGGAAAGGUUUUUUCUGGGAUUGGGUGGGCUCGCGGCCUAUCAGCUUGUUGGUGGGGUGAUGGCUUACCAAGGCUUUGACGGGUAGCCGGCCUGAGAGGGUGGUCGGUCGAACUGGGACUGAGAUACGGCCCAGACUCCUACGGGAGGCAGCAGUGGGGAAUAUUGCACAAUGGACGAAAGUUUGAUGCAGCGACGCCGCGUGGAGGGUGUAGGCCUUCGGGUUGUGAACUCCUUUUUCUCGCGAAAAAGGCACAGUUUUGGCUGUGUUGAUGGUAGUGGGGGAAGAAGCGCCGGCUAACUACGUG
RNAcentral lists this ribosomal RNA (483 nucleotides) under uncultured bacterium. Its description in RNAcentral is "partial 16S ribosomal RNA". It matches the Rfam family "Bacterial small subunit ribosomal RNA", at positions 28 to 507 of the family's 1533-position model. The record is from RNAcentral.